CGCCCCUCCCUCGCGCGGCGGCCGGGCGCAGCGGCAGGAUGAAGGACCGGACCGGGGAGCUGCGCGCCGCAAAGGACAGUGACGACGAUGAUGAAGUCACCGUCAGUGUGGACCGGGACCGCUUCAUGGAUGAGUUCUUUGAGCAGGUGGAAGAAAUUCGAGGGUUCAUCGAUAAGAUUUCAGAGAACGUGGAGGAAGUGAAGAGGAAGCACAGUGCCAUACUUGCCUCACCCAACCCUGACGAGAAAACGAAGGAGGAGCUGGAAGAGCUGAUGUCUGACAUAAAGAAGACGGCAAACAAAGUACGCUCCAAGCUAAAGAGUAUUGAGCAGAGCAUUGAACAAGAGGAAGGACUGAACAGGUCAUCUGCUGACUUGCGGAUAAGGAAAACUCAGCACUCAACGCUGUCACGCAAGUUUGUGGAGGUGAUGUCCGAGUACAACGCCACGCAGACUGACUACCGGGAGCGCUGCAAGGGCAGGAUCCAGAGGCAGCUGGAGAUCACUGGGAGGACCACCACCAGCGAGGAGCUGGAGGACAUGCUGGAGAGCGGCAACCCGGCCAUCUUCUCCUCUGGGAUCAUCAUGGAUUCAAACAUCACCAAGCAGGCACUGAAUGAGAUUGAGACACGGCACAGCGAGAUCAUCAAACUGGAGAACAGCAUCCGAGAGCUGCACGACAUGUUCAUGGACAUGGCCAUGCUGGUGGAGAGCCAGGUAGGGAGACACUGCGGCCCUGUGGCUGGCUUGCCUCGAGAGGUUGAAGGAUGAUGGGGCUGCCUGGGUGGGUCCUGAGAGGAAAAACUGCAUCUGGGACUGGUGUGGGUCCCACUGGGGCUGAGCUGGGCUCCUCAGCACCACUGAGCCUGCACCCCAGAGCCGGGGGCUGCGGCAUGCAUGGGGCAAGAGGUUCGGUGAUGGGCUCUGGAGGAGGGUAGCGGGUGGCUGCCGGGCAGCUGGAGAGUCUCCAUCUCCUCUGGAGCACUGGGCCCUGCUGGCUGAGCUCGGGGUGCCACCAGACGUGGUCCUGCCAGGCUGCCCCUGGCCGUGCCGCCGGCCCGCAGUGCUCGGCCCUUGAGCUGGGCACGUGUUCCGGUGUCUCUGCUCACCCCACUUCUUGCCCGCCAUGCUGCCAUGGCCCGAGGAGACAUCAGUGGCAGGGCUGCUGGGCAGGGCAACGUCCACACGGUGCUGGGGAGCAGCAGAGCAGGAAGGAGCUCACGUCUGCGUGCGUGCGGGCACGUGGGCUCUGUCCCCGUUCUGCAGGGCGAGAUGAUUGACCGCAUCGAGUACAACGUGGAGCACUCAGUGGACUACGUGGAGAGGGCUGUGUCCGACACCAAAAAAGCAGUGAAGUACCAGAGCAAAGCCAGACGGAAGAAGAUCAUGAUCAUUAUCUGCUGCGUGAUCCUGGGCAUCGUCAUCGCCUCCACCUUCGGUGGCAUUUUCGGCUAGACUCACCCCACGGGACUGUUUGUGUGCGAUGGACGGAGCUGCGUGUGCCGUGGGGCCGCAGCCGCACUGGAGCAAACCACGCAGCCCCGGAGCCUCCCAGCAGCAUUUCAGUUUCUAAUGCAUGGUUGUUUGUGACGCUGUGUGUGCGGUGCGGUGCGUCUGUAUGGAGGGAGCGCCGGCCCCGGGGCGUAGGCAGGGUGCAGGGGAUGGUGAUGGGCAGGAGGGGGACCCUGGGGGGGAACCCGAGUUCUCAUCACUGCUCCAGCCUUCAUGGCUGGCUGGGGACAGGGGUGCCCUUGGGCACUGCUGCUCCUCCUGUGCUGGGCAGUCUGCAUUAGUGACAACCAAGGAUGCAGGGUGUCAGGGCUCCUCAGGAGCACAGUGCCCAGUAAACCUCCCCCAGCUUCCCCAUCACCUCCAGCCAGAGCUCUCAUGUCAGCUGUGUCUGUGCUCGCAAACACCUUUCCUUGGGCUGCUUCUCUCACGGGAUCCUUCCCCAGGGGUGUGCUCUGCCGGGCCCUGCCUGCCCUGUCCCUGCCUGUCCUGUGGCUGUGCCUGGCUGUGGGGCUCUAUCCCUGCUGCCCCUCUGAGGCAAACCCUCGCCCCAGUGUGUGUGCCAGGGGCCAGAUGUUCCGCUGCUGACAGGGGGUGCCUGAUGGAGCAGCGUAGGAUAGGGAGCUGCUGCUUUGGGCCAUUACAGUUGCCUGGGGAUGGGGACAGGACACAUGGGAUCAUGCGCUGCACACUGGUGCUGGCCAGGCAGGGCAGGAGGGCGCAGGUACUUUAAGGCCAGCACGUUUCACUGGUUGCUCUGCCUGCACCAGCGCCUCAUCAUUCUCUGUCAGCCCUGGCACACCGUGGCCCUGGAGGCCUGGGCUCCGUCUGCUGGGGUUUGGGGCCAGCUCUGAUGCCCGCAGUCCCUGGCAGCACUUGCCUGUGAGCAGGGCUGCAUCCAGCCUCACUUCUCCACAUAGGCGCCUAUGGCUGGGGCUGGAGGCAGCCAAACUUUCUCCUGUUGUGGUCCCCGGAGCAGCCCUUGUUGUAUCCACACCCCUGCUGGCUAAGAGGAGCAGCCUUCCUCCUCCUUGGUCCUAUCAGUUCUUGAGCAGGGCAGUGCCUGACUACCCAUCUCUCUGCCACCUCUUGGCACCCGCCGGCUCCUGCCACUCCUGGCAUAAGGCCCUUCUGCCUGCUCAUCCCCUGGGCCAUCCAGAGAGGACCCACACUUGGCAGGAUGCUGUGGAGGCACCUGGGUACCCUCUGCCCUCUGCUGCACCCACUGUGUGGACACAGCCACACAAGGGGCCCUGUGAUGGCACUGUGUUUUCCUCAGGCCCAGGGCAGGGCUCUGCCCUUACAUUCCUCUGUAGAUUCCAGGGUUGCAGCUGGCCCAUGCACAUGCCAAAGCACCACUGAGGAACCCAGAGCAGGGCAAGCAUUGGAAGCCACACACUGGGAUAGGGUCUGGACAUAAGCCCAGAUGCUGGUAGCAGAAAAAGGGCAGCUGAUGUCAGUGAGUACUCUAGCUGCAGGCUGCAGGUCACCUCUCUGCUCCAACCAGGGUCCCUCUGCUCCUCCACCCUGCCUGGGUGCUGCAGCACAGGAGCUGGCCCCUGUGCGUGGUGCCCAUGGCUGGGGGGGAAAGGAAGCGGGCCGUAGCCAAGACACAAUGCUACCUUAGGCACAGCCCUGCCCAGCAGCAACCCAGAUGUGGCGCUUUCCCUGCCACUGUUACCUGAGGUCCCACUGUACAGCCCCUGGUUGCAUUCAGCUGCCCUUGGGAAGCGUGUCCAGCCCAGUCCCCUGCCCAGCCCAGGGGUGCGACCAUGGGAACACCCAAGUCUGGAGCCCCCUUCUUUCACAGUCCCACAACAACGGACAUGAGCCACAGCGCUGCAGCCUGUGUGCACAAAAGGGCUUGGGGCACCGCAAGAGGGAGCAGGCCAGCUCUGGAGCCCCUCCAGGGCAGGAGACAGGCAUGAGCAGGGUCCUUGCUCUAUGGGGAAGGAGCUGAAGGUGAUGCACGAGUGCCUGCUGCUCCUGCCCCAAUACAGUUCCCUGCCACCAUACUCUGCUCUGCUGAGCCAGCAAGAACACAGGGCCCCCUCCUCUGGGAAGCAAUAACUCUGCUGGCAGGGCUGCUCCUGGGCGGGCAGGCAAAAAAGCUCCUCUCAGGCUCUCGCCCUGCAGCGAUGCCCACUGCUAGCGCAAGGUGAUCUUUUUAUCUUCCAAGCAGCGGCUUUUGUGGCACAAGCUCACAUGACAUCAGGGCUGUGGCCCACCCCCGUCAAGGCACAAGGCUAAGAACAGCACUGGGGGGCUCUGGCACUCACUCCUUCCUUGUUGGUACCACCACCACCAGCAGCCCCCCAGCAGCAGGAGCCAGAUGGGGCCACAGUCGGGAGUUCUGCCACUGGCACUUUGCUGGGAUCCUGCAGGCAGUGGUGGUGCCAGGCUCCAGCACACGGGAGGCAGAGGAGCAGGCUGCCACUGCUGCCCCACAGGCAGGUUCACACUGUCCUCGCUGUGAGGGGAGGGUGUUUUGGUGCAAUAAUUACCCCUGCACUAUGGGAAGCCCCGCUCAGUUCCUUUUUACCUACCUGUUGUUGCAUGUACAGACCAAAUCACCAACAGUGUGGUUGUGCUUUGGGGACACAUUUCACUUUUUCUUUCCAGCCCCCCACCUCAGACCGCUUGUCCUUCGGGUUACCCCACCUCUGUUCCAAGUGCCACCUGCCCUCCCAGCACCGGGAGCGUGUCGAUGCAGUAUUCCACGAGCAGUGUGGGGCACGCACAGCUUGCACUCGAACUGGGGAUUAUUUUGGGGUUUUUUUAGUAAUUAAAUGUACUUGAAAGCUUUCCAAGUCCCCCCUCCCCGUGGAGUUGUACUGUUGCUGUACUGUGAGCUAAGUGUCCUUGUUUUCUAUGUGGAUCUUGACCCUGGCUUGCUCUGUCUCACUGGGCUGGAUGACACUGUAUGUUGCCUCUUUUCUCCUUCCCCCUUUCCCUUCCUGCUAGCCUCCCCUUCUCCCAAAGCUUUGGGUGCAAAACAGCUUCCCAUUUUGUGGAAUUUUUAUGUAGAAUAAACAUUUGUAACUGUAAA
Molecule: RNA transcript, 4557 nt
Organism: Strigops habroptila (Kakapo)
Lineage: Eukaryota; Metazoa; Chordata; Aves; Psittaciformes; Psittacidae
Gene: STX1A
Gene name: syntaxin 1A
Exons: 10
Source: RefSeq, a predicted model, not a curated record